UAGCCUACGGGGGGCAGCAGUGAGGAAUAUUGGUCAAUGGCCGGAAGGCUGAACCAGCCAAGCCGCGUGAAGGACGAAGGUGCCAAGCAUUGUAAACUUCUUUUGUCAAGGGACAAAAUCAGGCUCGAGAGCCUGACCGAGGGUACUUGAAGAAAAAGCAUCGGCUAACUCCGUGCCAGCAGCCGCGGUAAUACGGAGGAUCCGAGCGUUAUCCGGAUUUAUUGGGUUUAAAGGGAGCGUAGAUGGGUUGUUAAGUCAGUUGUGAAAGUUUGCGGCUCAACCGUAAAAUUGCAAUUGAUACUGGC
This 305-nucleotide ribosomal RNA is filed under the name uncultured bacterium. RNAcentral describes it as "bacterial SSU rRNA". It matches the Rfam family "Bacterial small subunit ribosomal RNA", at positions 335 to 637 of the family's 1533-position model. The record is from RNAcentral.